Molecule: ribosomal RNA, 455 nt
Filed under: uncultured bacterium
Lineage: Bacteria
Description: bacterial SSU rRNA
Rfam family: Bacterial small subunit ribosomal RNA
Source: RNAcentral
UGAACGCUGGCGGCGUGCUUAACACAUGCAAGUCGAACGGUAACAGAGGAGCUUGCUCCUGCUGACGAGUGGCGCACGGGUGAGUAAUGCAUAGGUAACGUGCCCCUUAGUCUGGGAUAGCCACUGGAAACGGUGAUUAAUACUGGAUACUCCUUCUACCUUGAUGGUAGUUGGGAAAGUUUUUCGCUAAGGGAUCGGCCUAUGUUGUAUCAGGUAGUUGGUGAGGUAAUGGCUCACCAAGCCUAUGACACAUAGCGGGUCUGAGAGGAUGAUCCGCCACACUGGUACUGAGACACGGACCAGACUCCUACGGGAGGCAGCAGUGGGGAAUAUUGCACAAUGGACGAAAGUCUGAUGCAGCAACGCCGCGUGGAGGAUGACACAUUUCGGUGCGUAAACUCCUUUUAUAUAAGAAGAUAAUGACGGUAUUAUAUGAAUAAGCACCGGCUAACUCC